Non-coding RNA from Ailuropoda melanoleuca (giant panda), 73 nucleotides. NCBI's taxonomy places the organism in Eukaryota, Metazoa, Chordata, Mammalia, Carnivora, Ursidae. The record is from Rfam.
GCCUGGCUGGCUCAGUCUGCAGAGCAUGUGACUCUUGAUCUCAGGGUUGUGAGUUCAAGCCCUACAUCGGGCA